CACAAACACUUCUUUCCUCCCUAAUUGCCAUCUCCAGCCUACCCUGUGAGUUUCUCCUUGUGACUUGCAUGGACCCAGCUUCCCACUCGUAGAUCUUUCUUGCACAAGGACAGUCCAUUGCCCUGGUUCUUAUGUUUUCUAAAAUGGAUCCAAGGUCACUGGGUUAUAGUAUGAGGAUAACACCACUUGAGAAGCCUUUUCUCAAGAGGACAAAUCUGACUUAGUACCCAAUCCAGGAAGAUGAGAAAUUAAAUUAAAUAAUGUAGCAAUAUGGAGGUGGCAUGAUCCAAUGAAAAGAAUUCUGGACUUGGAGUUAAAAGACCUGGAUCUAAGCCAUGGUUCCAAAUUUUACUUACUUUAUGAUUAGAGCUUGGCUAACAUUAUAAACAUAUAUAAUAAAGAUUCAAAGGAGGAGCUUCACCUUCAUCAGACAACUUCAAAGGAAGAGAGCUGCCUCAGCAACUUCCCAGAAAGGAUUACUUUUUUGAGGGCAGAUAAUGAGAGAACAUUUACUUUCUCUUCCACAGGAUUCAAGGGAAUGACGAAAUAGCAUAUUACAAAAUGAACACAGAUAUUAAACCUGCCAUGCUCUCAUCACAAAAUGGGUUCAGAUCUCAGAUAGGAGGAGAAAGUGAAUGUUGAAGUGAUUCAGUAAGUUCGAGGAACUCUUUUUCCAUAAACCAAUGGAAGAGAUGAGGAGAUAGAAGAAUCUUAAUCUCCAGAAGAUCUUCCCAGUUAUAUAUACUUUGAUCUAUAUUGUUUAGUCAGGCAUGAGACUGACUUUUUUUUUAAAUGUCUAUUAUUUUAUAAUUAUUAUCUGCCCUGUCUUUGACUUAAGGUGUUUCAAUAAGUUCAUUUUCUUUUAGAAGCAUAAUAUGAGAGUUCCAGUCAAGAUGGCGGCUUAGAGAGAGCUAAAGUUCAGAUCUCCGGAAACCCCUUCAUUACUGAUCUCAAACUGUAUGCUCCUAGGACACAGAAAUUCAAAACAAACAACAGGAUAGAUCCCGGGAACCCUCCUCCUGGACCUGGAUCAAAAGGGGAAGUUAAUCCUAUCAGGAGCCCUUGGGGCUCCUGGAAGCCACAGCCCUUCCCCCUUCAGAGUGCAGGCUCUUCUAAAACAACAGUAACCCUCAGGGCCAGCUAUUCAGAAGGCCACAUCCUGAAAACAACCUGAGCCAGUCUCAGGGGCACCCAGACAGCCAGGAAACAGAGAGAGACAGAGGGGAGCCUGUAGCCCCCUGGCUGGAUCCUUCCAUCUCAGGGAAGGUCCCUGCUUUAAAACACACUCAAUACAACACAGGGGAAGUUAAUCCUAUCAGGAGCCCUCGGAGCUGGAGACUGGAAAGACCUCCAGGAAGUGAUGCAGAGCGAGAGGAGCAGAACCAGGAGAACAUUGUACACAGAGACUAAUACACUGUGGUAUAAUCGAACGUAAUGGACUUCUCCAUUAGUGGAGGUGUAAUGUCCCUGAACAAUCUGCAGGGAUCUAGGAGAAAAACACUAUUCAUAAGCAGAGGACAAACUGUGGGAGUAGAAACACCGAGGAAAAACAACUGCCUGACUACAGUGGUUGAGAGGACAUGACAGAGGAGAGACUCUAAAGGAACACUCUAAUGCAAAUACUAACAACAUGGCAAUGGGUUUGAAUCAAGAACUCAUGUGAUACCCAGUGGAAUCACACGUCGGCUAUGGGGGGUGGGAGGGGAGGAAAAGAAAAUGAUUUUUGUCUUUAAUGAAUAAUGCUUAGAAAUGAUCA
Monodelphis domestica (gray short-tailed opossum) is the source of this 1756-nucleotide long non-coding RNA. The record is from Ensembl. NCBI's taxonomy places the organism in Eukaryota, Metazoa, Chordata, Mammalia, Didelphimorphia, Didelphidae.